This 792-nucleotide ribosomal RNA is filed under the name uncultured bacterium. Its description in RNAcentral is "bacterial SSU rRNA". It matches the Rfam family "Bacterial small subunit ribosomal RNA", at positions 8 to 796 of the family's 1533-position model. The record is from RNAcentral.
AGAGUUUGAUCAUGGCUCAGAACGAACGCUGGCGGCGUGCUUAACACAUGCAAGUCGCGUGCGCAGUUUCCGUAGCAAUACGGGGAUGGGCGCACGGCGCACGGGUGCGUAACACGUGGGCAAUCUGCCCUCCGAUGGGGAAUACCCCCGCGAAAGCGGGACUAAUUCCGCAUAACAUUCCUUGGAUUAACUUUCGAGGAUUCAAAGCAGCAAUGCGUCGGAGGAGGAGCCCGCGCCCGAUUAGCUAGUUGGUGAGGUAACGGCUCACCAAGGCAAUGAUCGGUAGCUGGUCUGAGAGGAUGGCCAGCCACACUGGAACUGAGACACGGUCCAGACUCCUACGGGAGGCAGCAGUGGGGAAUCUUGCACAAUGGGCGAAAGCCUGAUGCAGCGACGCCGCGUGGGGGAUGAAGCUUUUCGGAGUGUAAACCCCUUUCGACUGGGACGAAUGCCUCGCAAGAGGAGUGACGGUACCAGUAUAAGAAGCCCCGGCUAACUACGUGCCAGCAGCCGCGGUAAGACGUAGGGGGCCAGCGUUGUUCGGAAUUACUGGGUGUAAAGGGUUCGUAGGCGGUGUGGCAAGUCGGGAGUGAAAUCUCUGGGCUCAACCCAGAGACUGCUUCCGAAACUGCUGUGCUUGAGUGUGAGAGAGGCUCGUGGAAUUGCAGGUGUAGCGGUGAAAUGCGUAGAUAUCUGCAGGAACACCCGUGGCGAAAGCGGCGAGCUGGAUCACUACUGACGCUGAGGAACGAAAGCUAGGGGAGCAAACAGGAUUAGAUACCCCCGUAGUCC